Long non-coding RNA from Brienomyrus brachyistius, 458 nucleotides. RefSeq lists it as uncharacterized. Lineage: Eukaryota; Metazoa; Chordata; Actinopteri; Osteoglossiformes; Mormyridae. The record is from RefSeq and is a predicted model, not a curated record. The transcript is spliced from 3 exons.
UUAAGUGUCACUGCAGUACAGCGUUUUAUACGUACAAAUAUAACGCAAAUUGUGCGUAUGACAGAAUUAGGUGGCGGCGGGAGCUUGUCCCCUUUCUCUUAUUGUUAAUUAUUGUUAAUUCACAUGGAUAAUAUCCCCCAUUUCUGCUUAGACCGAUCCCGCGUUUGGUAUGAAGGUGAUUAUUUCCUGCUGUGUGUAAAUAAAAGUGAAAGUAUUUUAAAGCUGGAAUCUCCAUUUUGUCAAGAAACACGCAUAAGAUUCUGGAAUAAUAAAGACAUUUUGUACUGCAAGUGUCCUGAUGGAGAGAGCAGUACCUGUACCCAGCUGUGUUUCCAUGAAGAGUGACCAGUCAAUGGAAUUACCAAUCAGCUUCAGAGAGAAACCUUUUCCAUCAGAUCAGAGAGGCUCCAGCAGAAGUCAUCUGGUCUGGGUCAGUACAAGAAUGGAGGGAGAUGCUU